RNAcentral lists this small RNA (190 nucleotides) under Atopomonas hussainii. RNAcentral describes it as "Pseudomonas hussainii Pseudomonas sRNA P27". It matches the Rfam family "Pseudomonas sRNA P27". Lineage: Bacteria; Pseudomonadati; Pseudomonadota; Gammaproteobacteria; Pseudomonadales; Pseudomonadaceae. The record is from Rfam by way of RNAcentral.
CGGGAUUACUCCUGGAUUUUUACCAUUUGACCGGCGAACCGGCCGUGUUUUGGUGUCUGAUCCAGUAAACAUGACUGAAUCGGGAGCACCAUCUGCGUAGGCAUUUCUAUUAAGGCUUGCGCCACCUACGGUCUUGGAUAGCCCCCGCCAGGCAGGGACCCCAAAAACCGGCGAGCCGCAAGCGACUCGC